RNAcentral lists this ribosomal RNA (524 nucleotides) under uncultured bacterium. Its description in RNAcentral is "partial 16S ribosomal RNA". It matches the Rfam family "Bacterial small subunit ribosomal RNA", at positions 28 to 523 of the family's 1533-position model. The record is from RNAcentral.
GACGAACGCGGGCGGCGUGCCUAAUACAUGCAAGUCGAGCGCAGGAAACUGACGGAACUCUUCGGAGGGAAGGCAGUGGAAUGAGCGGCGGACGGGUGAGUAACACGUAAGGAACCUGCCUCAAGGAUUGGGAUAACUCCGAGAAAUCGGAGCUAAUACCGGAUAGUUCAACGGACCGCAUGGUCCGCUGAUGAAAGGCGCUCCGGCGUCACCUUGAGAUGGCCUUGCGGUGCAUUAGCUAGUUGGUGGGGUAACGGCCCACCAAGGCGACGAUGCAUAGCCGACGUGAGAGGGUGAUCGGCCACACUGGGACUGAGACACGGCCCAGACUCCUACGGGAGGCAGCAGUAGGGAAUCUUCCACAAUGGACGAAAGUCUGAUGGAGCAACGCCGCGUGAGUGAUGAAGGUUUUCGGAUCGUAAAACUCUGUUGUAAGGGAAGAACACGUACGAGAGGAAAUGCUCGUACCUUGACGGUACCUUACGAGAAAGCCACGGCUAACUACGUGCCAGCCGCCGCCGUAA